Stegodyphus mimosarum is the source of this 73-nucleotide non-coding RNA. NCBI's taxonomy places the organism in Eukaryota, Metazoa, Arthropoda, Arachnida, Araneae, Eresidae. The record is from Rfam.
GCCUUCGUGGUGUAGUGAUCAGCACUCUCGACGCGCAACCGAGAAGUUCAUGGUUCAAUUCCCGCCGAAGGCG